UGGGGAAUAUUGCACAAUGGGCGCAAGCCUGAUGCAGCGACGCCGCGUGGGGGAUGACGGCCUUCGGGUUGUAAACCCCUUUCGGCGGGGAAGCAAGCCCUUCGGGGUGGAGGGUGACCCGCGGAACGAAGGCGCCGGCUAACUACGUGCCAGCAGCCGCGGUAAUACGUAGGGCGCGAGCGUUAUCCGGAAUUAUUGGGCGUAAAGAGCUCGUAGGCGGUUUGUCGCGUCUGCUGUGAAAGCCCGGGGCUCAACCCCGGGUCUGCAGUGGGUACGGGCAGGCUGGAGUGCAGUAGGGGAGACUGGAAUUCCUGGUGUAGCGGUGAAAUGCGCAGAUAUCAGGAGGAACACCGAUGGCGAAGGCAGGUCUUC
RNAcentral lists this ribosomal RNA (372 nucleotides) under uncultured Sinomonas sp. RNAcentral describes it as "bacterial SSU rRNA". It matches the Rfam family "Bacterial small subunit ribosomal RNA", at positions 355 to 730 of the family's 1533-position model. Lineage: Bacteria; Bacillati; Actinomycetota; Actinomycetes; Micrococcales; Micrococcaceae. The record is from RNAcentral.